GGGAAACUGCCUGAUGAGGGGGAUAACUACUGGAAACGGUAGCUAAUACCGCAUAACGUCGCAAGACCAAANAGGGGGGACCUUCGGGCCUCUUGCCAUCGGAUGUGCCCAGAUGGGAUUAGCUAGUAGGUGGGGUAACGGCUCACCUAGGCGACGAUCCCUAGCUGGUCUGAGAGGAUGACCAGCCACACUGGAACUGAGACACGGUCCAGACUCCUACGGGAGGCAGCAUG
Molecule: ribosomal RNA, 233 nt
Filed under: uncultured bacterium
Lineage: Bacteria
Description: partial 16S ribosomal RNA
Rfam family: Bacterial small subunit ribosomal RNA
Source: RNAcentral